UACGUAGGGACCAAGCGUUGUUCGGAUUUACUGGGCGUAAAGGGCGCGUAGGCGGCGCGGUAAGUCACUUGUGAAAUCUCUGAGCUUAACUCAGAACGGCCAAGUGAUACUGCAGUGCUAGAGUGUGGAAGGGGCAAUCGGAAUUCUUGGUGUAGCGGUGAAAUGCGUAGAUAUCAAGAGGAACACCGGUGGCGAAGGCGGGUCUCUGGGCAGUAACUGACGCUGAGGAGCGAAAGCGUGGGGAGCGAACAGG
This 253-nucleotide ribosomal RNA is filed under the name uncultured bacterium. RNAcentral's name for it is "partial 16S ribosomal RNA". It matches the Rfam family "Bacterial small subunit ribosomal RNA", at positions 524 to 776 of the family's 1533-position model. The record is from RNAcentral.